Molecule: non-coding RNA, 24 nt
Filed under: Cricetulus griseus (Chinese hamster)
Lineage: Eukaryota; Metazoa; Chordata; Mammalia; Rodentia; Cricetidae
Source: RNAcentral
UACGAGGUGGAAAUGUAGGUCAAU